This 85-nucleotide non-coding RNA is filed under the name Streptomyces sp. HGB0020. RNAcentral's name for it is "Streptomyces RNA 6106". It matches the Rfam family "Streptomyces RNA 6106". From Rfam's summary of the family: Identified by deep sequencing of transcriptome at the end of exponential growth phase. Appears smaller on northern blot than sequencing transcript. Lineage: Bacteria; Bacillati; Actinomycetota; Actinomycetes; Kitasatosporales; Streptomycetaceae. The record is from Rfam by way of RNAcentral.
ACGCCGUCCCGAGCGGCGUUCAUGGCCUUGUAGGGGCCAGCUGGGCGGGGGUGAUGCCGUGUCGGCGCAGCAUCACCCCCGCAAC